UACGGGGGGAGCAAGCGUUGUUCGGAUUUACUGGGCGUAAAGGGCGCGUAGGCGGUCAGCACAAGUCAGUUGUGAAAUCUCCGGGCUUAACUCGGAAAGGUCAACUGAUACUGUGCGACUAGAGUGCAGAAGGGGCAACUGGAAUUCUCGGUGUAGCGGUGAAAUGCGUAGAUAUCGAGAGGAACACCUGCGGCGAAGGCGCCUUGCUGGCCGAUUUCUGACGCUGAGGCGCGAAAGCGUGGGGAGCAAACAGG
Molecule: ribosomal RNA, 254 nt
Filed under: uncultured bacterium
Lineage: Bacteria
Description: partial 16S ribosomal RNA
Rfam family: Bacterial small subunit ribosomal RNA
Source: RNAcentral